CAUGAAUUUGAUUUGUGGGAUAUAUACGAAACAAAACCCAGAUAGCAAGCACAUUGGGGCCGAUUCCGACUGAAAUGCGCGAAAGAGGAAUACUUUCAGCUGCAAAAAGGGUGCCGCCAUGUUCGCGUGACGUCAUACACACGACAUCAUGAAUCUUGGACCCGAGUCAUCUGGAGACCACAAUAUCAGACACUUGAGGGUGAACGUUUAAGUAAACAAACACUUUGGCACACAGAGAGCACCCUAACUGCAUCGAGUGAAACUCAUUCCUGAAGAGCAGGUGCAGACCAUCAUCAUCAUAAUCAUAAUGGCCCACAAG
Molecule: long non-coding RNA, 319 nt
Organism: Onychostoma macrolepis
Lineage: Eukaryota; Metazoa; Chordata; Actinopteri; Cypriniformes; Cyprinidae
Exons: 3
Source: RefSeq, a predicted model, not a curated record